GAUGUUUGACAGUGUUAAAAAUGUGUGAUUUGUUUAUAUAUGGCCAGAGUACACAGUUAUCGUCCUUUGAUUUUCAUUGUCCACGAAUAUAGUCCUUAGUGUGUACAGUGUACGAAUAUAGUCCUUAGUGUGGACAGUGUACGAAUAUAGUCCUUAGUGUGGACAGUGUGUUACUUGCCAAUCUUUUUAUACCCCUUCCGAAUUUAUUUCUCCAUGUUUUAUGCCUCUCAUAGCAAGUAGGGGAUGAAAUGACACUGUAAACAAAUUUGGGUCAUCAAUUCUAAUGUAAAGUAGUGAUUAGGUCCAGCCGAAAAAGGUAAAAAAAUUAGCACUUCGGAAGCUGUCAAAAAAUUUCAAGACCCC
RNAcentral lists this long non-coding RNA (363 nucleotides) under Mytilus galloprovincialis (Mediterranean mussel). The record is from RNAcentral. Lineage: Eukaryota; Metazoa; Mollusca; Bivalvia; Mytilida; Mytilidae.